UUCUCCAUGGCAUGACAGCAUUGAAGAUGGUCAAACAUGGAAACUAAAAUGUUUCUCUCUUUUUAAUCAUUGAGCAGAUCGUGUCAUCAAUAGCAGCAGUGCUGCUCAUACCAGAAAGUUUCGUGAUCGUUCAGGAGGCCUCACUUAUGGCGUGGACCUUCAAUUCUUUUUUUAAAUUAAUAGAAUCAGUGCUUAUGUUUUACCAAAAAGGUAAGGAAGAAGUUUGGUCUUCAUCUCAGGGCGGCAAUGAAGAUUGUAAAGGGGAGACCAACAAUUGUGCUGAAGGGUCUUAAAACCGCUACUUAUUGCAUUCCAAGCAAAAUUCAUUUUCAAAUUGGGACUCACGUUCUAACAUCCAGCAUGAAAGACCAUUAGUGAUGCACCAGCCAAAUACUGGGAUCAAUCCUCACCAUUCAGUACCAGUUCAUGCUGGAAACUGACCGCCUUCAUAUAAGCGUUGUAUUUGAUAUUGUAGUAGUUUUUGUGGUCAUGAUUUUAAAAAAUUUAUUUUAUAAAAUUUAUUUUUAGUU
Molecule: long non-coding RNA, 530 nt
Organism: Populus nigra (black poplar)
Lineage: Eukaryota; Viridiplantae; Streptophyta; Magnoliopsida; Malpighiales; Salicaceae
Exons: 2
Source: RefSeq, a predicted model, not a curated record